RNAcentral lists this long non-coding RNA (6303 nucleotides) under Androctonus crassicauda. The record is from RNAcentral. Lineage: Eukaryota; Metazoa; Arthropoda; Arachnida; Scorpiones; Buthidae.
AGAGGAGGGAUACGUGUGAACAUUCUAGUGAAGCGAAGGCAUUUCAUGACUACGUAAGUAAAACUAAAGUUUCGUAGAUUAACAUUAUUUCUGUUGUUGUUGUAACGGUUUGUUAAUACUAGAAGUUACCUAAGACUUUGCUGAAUUGUUUAUAUGAAUAUAUUAUACAUUAUACGAUGUCCAUGAAAAGAAAAAUUGCAAAGCUGUUUAGAACAUGCCGCGCUUUUUUUUUUUAUUUUUCAUAGAAGCCAUCGGUAUAAAUUUGUAUAUUUAUGUUAAUAUACACAUUUAUCGGUGAAUUUCCAUGUCAGGGUCAAAAUCAAACGCUUCGGGGGAUUUCUCCAUAGUGGUUUGUAACCCACUUUAACGUGGUAUUUCCGGAAUUGCGCAAAAGUUAGGAAAACAAGGUCGUUUGUUUCUUUUCGAGGAGAGAAAAAUGCAUACAAUACACACACAGGUAAUUAAGUUUUUCGUUUCGUCAUAUACGUUGUUUAAAUAAUCCCCACACACAACAGGAUUCGUUUUUCGAAUAUGAGAAAAACAGCGUAAUUCUGAAAAACUAUAAUCGUAAAAAAAAUUACAUCGGACAUAUGGAAACAGUUCGAAUCCAAUCGAUAUUGUAUAUUAGAAAUAAAACAUUUAAUUUAUAGAAAUAGCGAUUGGCGCGCGAAUUUUUGGGCUAUCUACAUCCAAAAUCGUCGUUAAAAUUUUUUGCUUUUGGAACUUAAGAAAAAGUCAAGUUAACAGGUUGAGAAGUUUCGAAUAGCGCGCUUACCGCGAUGCGAAUCAGAAAAAAAGACCAUACCGUGGCCCCUCACAGGCGGAAAUGACGCAACCGGGGCUGCUGCCAAGUUAUCGCGACGCGUCCGGUGUUUUGGCAGCAGGAGGAAAACGGCUGUUUGCGUAAUAUCCCGCGGCCGCCCGUGACGUAACAGCAAAGUAAUAAACAUCGCACUAAUUUCGGAAAAGUGCGGGACGUCAGCGAAAUUUUUUAUAUAAUUUUAACGAUUAUUUCGGCGCCAUCUGCCGCUGCAAAAUCGAACUAGCACGGUAAGCGUAUCACGAUGAAGUAUAUCAAAUCAGACACAGUAUUUCAUACUUCCUAAUUAAUGAAUUUUUUUGAUUACGCUGAUCGCGUAAUUUUUAAUAGUUUUCGAAAGUUUAGCGAUCGAGACAUUACGGAAAUCAGUAUUUCCUCCUCCUACGUUAAUGGCAAACGGUAGUUUAUCCGCGGUUUUUAGUCCCAAAAAUGGGACGUAUCUAGCCGGGUCGCUCCAUUUCUAUCGCACGACCUUAUCGCGGGUCACGUGGCUGGCGUGGUGUUUCACCAUGGUGACGACCAGGAGAAAUCAGUCGCUUAACUCCGCUUCUACUCUCUCGUUUACGAUCAGAUUUUUAGGUGCCGAUCAAACGUUUUCAUUUUAUCGAUUUUAGCGAAAAUAAGGAAACAAGUUUUCUUAUUUCUUUUUUUUCAAUAAAAAUAUUUAGCAUUGAUGCAACUGGUUCCGCCAAAUGGGUAGAUCAUCUCGUGUACGAGUGAAGUCGGCGUAAUGGAGAGUGAAUGAAAGCAAGUUAACAACACAAAAGGUUUAUUUCGGAUGGCUUUAUUGAUAUAUAGGGAAUAAAUAUCAAAUUCCUAGAAGUUCUGUUCACAGGAACCCGUUUUCUUGUGUAGAAGACUAGGCAGUCGAGCGGGUGAUGCAUCCCAUACACAAUAAUGUAGAAAGCUCUACCGAUCGAUAUUCACCAAGUGGCAACAGGUUGUACGCGACCGUUGCGUCGGCUCCACGUCCGUUUCCAGGGUACUAGAAGAGGAAAACAAGAACCGGUUACUAAAUUAGCAAAGUUUUGUAUAAUAUUUAAUCCAUCAGCCGAAAAUGAGUUCUGGAUUCAUUUUGAGGAAAAAGUGCUUUAAAUCACAUUAUAUUCAUUUGUUACAGUUACCAAACAAAUUUAUUUCCCAAAUGAUUUUUUUUACCGCUUUCGGAAAACUAAUUUAUGUUAAUAAUUCUUAGUUUUGAAAGGAAAUUUAACCAAUAGAAAGUUGGAUUGGUAGAGAGAAAAUACUAAUAGGCUGACUGAUGGAACGCCUUAUUAUGAGGGUGUGCUCUGCGAAAAAUGUCGUGACAGACAAAGUGGAACACUGCAGGGUUGGUGACCCUGCAAGGCCCGCCCGCGGUCGUUGAUACAGUGGAGGUUUCUUACGCCAGAUAGCCUGUCAGUAUGGUAAGGGAGGAGAGUUAAACGACAGGCUAGAGAUGUCCCGGUUCCUUGAACUCUGCGUUUUGAGACGGAAGGGGUUGAGCAAUUAUCUCGGCUGGUGAACCAUGAGACAAACACCGCGCGCGCGCGCGUUACCUGAGUUAAAUGACCUAAGUCGAAUCCGGCGCCCAUUUUUGAUCCAGCAUGGCUGGUAGAAACCGCGGACGACCCAGUUGCCCGUCGCUGCGAAACAGCGGAUUGUUUUUUUCCCUGUAGACUAGAGCUCUCGCACGUAGCGUUUAGGGGUGUUGUGUAGGAUAGUGGCAUGCGCCUGCCGUAUUCAGCCGGAGGGAUCGGGCUUUUCUGUCUAUCAGUUCGACUCUGUGGAUCUUUUGAUGCUAGUUUCCUUCACUUUUUUUUUUUAAUCCGAGGAGGAGGAGGAAACCGCCACUCUCGCUCUACUUCUUCCGUCCAUUGACGUUUACGGUCGUGUCCUGCUUUUUCUUGUGCUGAACUGACUUCCUUAUCCGCCACGCGUGGCCUGGCGGCGCACGUGACCGGAUGUCCUUCCGUGAAAAUAGAGCAGGCAGGUGGAUCAACGGUUUCUCGCGACCUUCCCACCGAGUGACUCCCCUCUAUAUCAAAUGCGAUAGUGAAGUGUUUGAUACUAUAGAAGUAUUGUAUGAUAUUCACUGUUUCUUUAUUGAACUAUUUUAUUUCUGGUCAUCUUGCAUGAAAACAACUAUUGGUUCCACGCCUUUACUGCCGCGGAUCAUGCGGAGUUCAGUGUACUCUCCGAGAAGGAAGGUGGGAAGGAAAGAAGAAAAAGACGCCGCACCACCCGCCGAGCCCAGAGUCCAUUUUACUAACUAACCUUAGCAACAAAAAAUUUUUAAGGCGAAAGUUGAUCGAUCGAUCAAAAGAAGUAUAUAGUACGGCCAGUCGAGUCGACUCUGUUGGAUAGAGGGUCGAGACACUUGUUUGAUUAAAGUAUCAGAGGGGAAGAAUCUCGCGCUUUCCAUAAACUGCUGCCUAGAAUAUAAACAUAGAGCAUAGAAGGAAGAGGAGCCGAUAGAUUGAAAAAUUUCUGGGAAACGACGAGUUUUCGUUUACCGAUCGUAUGAUUCGGGUCGCGCAGCAUCCAGUUACAACUUGGCUCCUGUUUACAAGAUAGCGUGCCGCCGGACACCGACAACACACGCACUGCGUGUCAGGAACGCCGCCAGCGCUGUCGACACCCUCUACCCCUUUAAUCUUUUCGACUUUCCCCCCGGUUUUCUUCCUCCCGUGAAGGUUACAUGUAGGCGGGGCAGUAUUCCAAUCCCCAUCCUUAGCUUCACCUCCCCUAUUUUUUCCCUUUAUUGUCGCGGGCAGGAAAUAGCUGCUAGUAUUGAUUAUUGACAUUCAGUGACGAUAGUAUUUUUCUCCUAACUCGAGUGAAUAUUUAAUGCUGAAAUUCUUUUUCAUUUUCCCGUACAAAAAAAUGCGAUAUUGUAGGUAUAGCUUCCGCACAUCAUACACGCGGGAUCACAAUUUCUGUGACCGUAACGGACAGGUGACGCGGAUCGACAGAUGGCGGCGGCGCGGUCACCUUCCUGCCAUCUGUUCGCAACUCGACCUCGAGUGUUCCGCGGUAUCGCAAGCUUACCCUUCGAAUUUUUGAUCGAUUCAUUAAUUUAUUUGUAGUUAUGAAAAUAAUUAGCAUUUGUAUAUUACAAAAAUUAUUCAACAUUCUUAUUUUUCUUUAUAGGGUUUCGUCAAUUCCGGUUACGCAGUCAACGGUAUUGCCCACGUAAGUAAACUGUUUCCAUUUUGUUAUCUUGCGCGGCCGCUCGAACUUCUCAAGUUUGAGAACAUACUCGACGGGAAGAAAACAAUUUAAACUAUCGAUCCGUUUCGCCGGCUCCUCCGAGCGCACGCGCCCACCCUAUACUCACGAUAUAGAUCCGCCCGUGCAGCUCUUGGGGGGAGAGCAUGCGCGCGCUAUUCCCCACUUCCGGCGGAAGGAGGCCCCCACCAAAGGACGAGCCGAUUUUUCUUUACCGGUGAAGAGCGAAUGUCGUAACCAUUAGUAUGAGAGAGUGACCUCCCUCCCCAUUCACCUGAGUCCGGUAGCUGGCUUUAAACUGCUCUUCUCGCCCGGUGGUGACGAAUUUUGAAGGUGGCGGGAAGCUUGGAUGCCCCCACGCGACACAAAAUCGAUACGUUUUGAGUGAGCAUUGGAACCGUUCCAUUCGCGCGUCUUUCUGCCCCCUAUAGAAUGAUUGCUGUCAUCUUACGGAUGAUCAUGUAAUUUCGUCAGGCUUGCAUAAUUUAGAAUAUGGAUCGUAUACGAGAAACAGACGUGUUUUGGGAACAUGGGCCUAAAGAACUGAUAUCUGAAUUAUAAUUACAGCCCUGAGACCACGGCAUGCAGAGCCACCAACACGUUUGGCAUUUUCUGCGGCCAGCGAGGUCGAAGACCGUUCGUCCCGCCUCGGUGGUCACUAGUGAGAAGCGAAGCAGAAAUACAUGGAAAAAACUGCCGGGCGGCCGGGAGGUUCUGUGACGUCACGCGGUCAACCAGGCGUGAAGGUCUUUCUUUGGCAGACACACUGGACGCUUUAGUGGAUACGUGGCGCCAUCUAUGGAAUACUGAGGAAAUUGCGAUCGGAGGUUUAAGAUACAUUUAUAUGUAUUAGAAAAUUUUGAAUUCGUGCUAUAAAUUAAAGCCCCAACAUUUUCAGAAAUGUGAAGCCGGGCCAAUUCUCAUCUGGCGGAGAGAUGAAAAUGUCCAUUGAUGACGUCAUCUUCAGUCUAGUAGGUAGGGUUGCCACGGAGACCGUAGCUAUGGAUAUGGCACCGUUCUCUUUGACGUCACUAUGCAUCGUGCAAACAGUCGAGACCUUGAAAGUUCUCUUUCUCCGGCAUUUUAUUUCUCGUAACUUUUCGAUCCAUUCGCAGAAGGGAGGCAGGAAAGGGGAGGCCGCCAAGCGACAACCUGUCAGACCGGGCACGUUCCGGUCUAUUGUGUCGAGCCGACCUUGACCUUUACCCCCCGUGCCGAAAAAGGUUGAAUGUCCCUUGUCGCGUCAUCUCUUCCCGCUCCGGAUUCCGUUCCCACCGAAAAUGAGGCGCUCUGGCUCCUCUGUGACGUCACCAGUGACGGCGCCCUCCGAGAUCGGGUCGAUGCACCUCGUCCCGCCUACGCCGCUAUUGUCUCCCCUCGGCCGGGUUAACCGGGCCGAGCGAUUCCUUUCCUCCGGCCACCGUACCGAAAAAGGGAUUGCGGAUCAUGUGAUUGGUCUUUGUUCCCAUCAGGCGCGCGCUAAGUUCUCACCCUAUCGCUCCUGGUUUAAGUUAAUGUUAUCGAAGUCGGCUAGACUAGUCGCUUAGCGGCCUCUAGAAAGCGGAAGAUUGCCCAAGCAGCUGGACUUGUAUACAAAAAUUCUUAUUUUCCCGAUUGGCAAAAUGCCAAGUCGGCCUUGAAACUUAGAGGGCUGUUCUUCCGCUUUAGAAACUGAGAUGAGAUAGCCAAACUUCCCUAGCCAGAUCAGAUCGGAAAGGCCACACGACCCGUUCUUUCCUUUUGCUGUUGUCGUGAGUCACGCCUCUGGUGUGGUGUCUUAAUUAUCAGUUAAAAGCUAUCUUUAUAGCAUAUGUCGUCUACAUGGAUAUAUUAUAGCAUUCAUCGCCCCCGUUAUUUUGAAGCCCAGUUUCCCCGGGAAUAACCGAUCAAUCGAUAGCAGGUGAGGUAUGGAAGGCUCACGCUCUCCUUUCCCCUUCCCACCGACAACCACGAAAAUUGCCAUGAAAAAUCAAUGAGGCGCGCUGCUUGGCCGCACGUGCUGCUACUGCACUCCCCUCUUUUAACAAUGGACUGCACUAAGUUUCUCUUCGUCCUUGUCCCCUUGCUACGCAGUGGAUGGAACUGUCCCCUCCUCCUCCUCCUCGUGCUCCAUUUCGCGGUGCCUGGAAUGACCAACCGAUCUCACGCGUAGUCAACCCGCCGCGCGCCGCGCUACAGAAUUAAUUAUUCAAUUUUUUUUUUAUUUCCUUCGUAGAACCCGACAGCGCCGAGCCCGUUGGGCCAAAUCCCACCAAAUGAGGGGAUGCCUGGAG